Molecule: ribosomal RNA, 109 nt
Filed under: Gregarina niphandrodes
Lineage: Eukaryota; Apicomplexa; Conoidasida; Eugregarinorida; Gregarinidae
Source: RNAcentral
GCUGCCGACCAUACUAUGUUUAAUGUGCUGGAUCCCUUUCGAACUCCAUUGCUAAGAAACAUAAGGCCUGUGUAGUACCGGUCUAGGGGGACUAACCGGGAACGACAAG